Molecule: ribosomal RNA, 497 nt
Filed under: uncultured bacterium
Lineage: Bacteria
Description: partial 16S ribosomal RNA
Rfam family: Bacterial small subunit ribosomal RNA
Source: RNAcentral
GACGAACGCUGGCGGCGUGCCUAAUACAUGCAAGUUGAGCGCUGAAGGUUGGUACUUGUACCAACUGGAUGAGCAGCGAACGGGUGAGUAACGCGUGGGGAAUCUGCCUUUGAGCGGGGGACAACAUUUGGAAACGAAUGCUAAUACCGCAUAAAAACUUUAAACACAAGUUUUAAGUUUGGAAGAUGCAAUUGCAUCACUCAAAGAUGAUCCCGCGUUGUAUUAGCUAGUUGGUGAGGUAAAGGCUCACCAAGGCGAUGAUACAUAGCCGACCUGAGAGGGUGAUCGGCCACAUUGGGACUGAGACACGGCCCAAACUCCUACGGGAGGCAGCAGUAGGGAAUCUUCGGCAAUGGACGAAAGUCUGACCGAGCAACGCCGCGUGAGUGAAGAAGGGUUUCGGAUCGUAAAACUCUGUUGGUAGAGAAGAACGUUGGUGAGAGUGGAAAGCUCAUCAAGUGACGGUAACUACCCAGAAAGGGACGGCUAACUACGUG